Molecule: long non-coding RNA, 839 nt
Organism: Pipistrellus kuhlii (Kuhl's pipistrelle)
Lineage: Eukaryota; Metazoa; Chordata; Mammalia; Chiroptera; Vespertilionidae
Exons: 3
Source: RefSeq, a predicted model, not a curated record
CCUGGUUCUCAGGAGGGUAGGUAGCUUGCCAGUGUAAUACGGGGAUACCUACCGAGACGAACAGGCAGGAGUUAAACCCAGCCUGCCUGGCUCUGUCUAAAGGAAAUACAGCAACUAUUUGGUGGAUUUUAUAAGCCCUUUGAGAUUUGCAUCUUGAAAGGCACAUCCCUAUCUUCCCAAAAGAUGCUCCUUUCCACUUCGGCCAGAGGCAGCACGUUCAGCAGGAUAAAUGCUAGGGCUUACCCGAGGCGACAGGCCACGCUUCCUUACAACUCACGUUCUGUUGUUUCUAUAACCAAUGCUGUCUCCUCGAGUCUCACCAUGACCUCCUCCGCCUCCUCCAUACUCACCUGAAUAGUAAAUAGGAGAGAGCUGGAAGUUUAUAGGAAGGCCAAGAACCCAGUAGCUUUUCUCGCUAGAAUUCUGGAAGGAGGGGUAGACUUCCCUCGUCACUUCCACACUCUGUCCAGGUGUCUAAGUAAAAGCAGAGUUUUAAGAUGUUUUUAGUUUUCCACAACCAGCUGCCUUGUGGGAGGCGGAUGUUCCCAGUGUAAACGUGGUGCUCCCUGAAGUGCGAUCUGUGGGGCUCUGCUCUGCCCUGAACAACUAGUUGGAGCCACUCGUUUACAGAUUGGCCUCACAGGUGGUUCAUUCUGCCCAAGGGUAUGGAAUACUUGGGGCACUUUGGAGGGGGACCCGAAAGGCACUUCCAGGGCCUGUUGCCAAGGUGCUGGCCCUGUGGACCUACAGGAGCGACAUUACUGUCAUCAUCCUCUUCCCCCUUCCUGGGGGUUAAGUUGUCGGGGCUCAGCUGCCCAGAAAGAGAGGGGUGUCGUAAG